GGGGAUUUAGCUCAGUGGCAUAAGCACCUGCCUUACAAGCAGGCGGUUGUGAGUUCGAUCCCCG
Molecule: transfer RNA, 64 nt
Filed under: Cavia porcellus (domestic guinea pig)
Lineage: Eukaryota; Metazoa; Chordata; Mammalia; Rodentia; Caviidae
Rfam family: tRNA
About the family: Transfer RNA (tRNA) molecules are approximately 80 nucleotides in length. Their secondary structure includes four short double-helical elements and three loops (D, anti-codon, and T loops).
Source: Rfam by way of RNAcentral